Molecule: ribosomal RNA, 483 nt
Filed under: Coenobita perlatus
Lineage: Eukaryota; Metazoa; Arthropoda; Malacostraca; Decapoda; Coenobitidae
Description: partial 16S ribosomal RNA
Rfam family: Bacterial large subunit ribosomal RNA
Source: RNAcentral
ACAGUCUGGCCUGCCCACUGAAUUAUUAAAGGGCCGCGGUAUCUCUGACCGUGCGAAGGUAGCAUAAUCAUUAGUCUUUUAAUUGGAGGCUUGUAUGAAGGGUCGAACGAGUGAUAAACUGUCUUAACAAAAAAUAUUGAAAUUAACUUUAAAGUGAAAAGGCUUUAAUGUCUUAGAAAGACGAUAAGACCCUAUAAAUCUUUACACUACAUUUAGUAUUAAGCCAAUUUAUUUGUUUAAGGAAAAAUACUAAAAAAGCGUUUUGUUGGGGCAACAAAGAUAUAAAUUAAAUAACUGUUUUUCUUUACACACAAAAAUUCUUGAAAUAUAUUGAUCCUCUCUAGAGAUUAAAAGAUUAAGUUACUUUAGGGAUAACAGCGUUAUUUUUCUUGAGAGUCCUCAUCGAAAGAAAAGUUUGCGACCUCGAUGUUGAAUUAAAAUUUCUUCCUAGUGCAGCAGCUAUGAGAGAAAGUCUGUUCGACU